RNAcentral lists this ribosomal RNA (862 nucleotides) under uncultured Actinomycetes bacterium. RNAcentral describes it as "bacterial SSU rRNA". It matches the Rfam family "Bacterial small subunit ribosomal RNA", at positions 58 to 951 of the family's 1533-position model. Lineage: Bacteria; Bacillati; Actinomycetota; Actinomycetes. The record is from RNAcentral.
CAAGUCGGACGAGAAAGCGGGGGCAACUCCGCAAGUACAGUGGCGUACGGGUGAGUAACACGUGGGUAAUCUACCUCAUAGUGGGGAAUAACCCUGGGAAACCGGGGCUAAUACCGCAUAAGCUCGAGAGAGGAAAGCAGCAAUGCGCUGUGAGAGGAGCCCGCGGCCGAUUAGCUGGUUGGUAGGGUAAAAGCCUACCAAGGCAAAGAUCGGUAGCCGGCCUGAGAGGGCACACGGCCACACUGGCACUGAAACACGGGCCAGACUCCUACGGGAGGCAGCAGUGGGGAAUCUUGCACAAUGGGGGCAACCCUGAUGCAGCGACGCCGCGUGAGCGAUGAAGCCCUUCGGGGUGUAAAGCUCUUUCGGCAGGGACGAUAAUGACGGUACCUGCAGAAGCAGCUGCGGCUAACUACGUGCCAGCAGCCGCGGUAAUACGUAGGCAGCGAGCGUUGUUCGGAGUUACUGGGCGUAAAGGGUGUGUGGGCGGUUUUCUAAGUUUGGUGUGAAAUCUCCCGGCUCAACCGGGAGGGUGCGCCGAAAACUGGGGGACUAGAGUGCGGGAUGGGAGAGUAGAAUUCCUGGUGUAGCGGUGAAAUGCGUAGAUAUCAGGAGGAAUACCGGUGGUGUAGACGGCUCUCUGGACCGCCACUGACGCUGAGACACGAAAGCGUGGGUAGCAAACAGGAUUAGAUGCCCUGGUAGUCCACGCCCUAAACGAUGCAUAUUUGGUGUAGGUCAUUCAGUUGAUCUGUGCCGGAGCUAACGCGUUAAAUAUGCCGCCUGGGGAGUACAGUCGCAAGGCUGAAACUCAAAGGAAUUGACGGGGGCCCGCACAAGCGGUGGAGCAUGUGGUUCAAUU